GGGCGGGUAGCUCAGCUGGUCAGAGCGUCUCGUUUACACCGAGAGGGCCGCGGGUUCGAAUCCUGCCCCGCCCACCA
Molecule: transfer RNA, 77 nt
Filed under: Candidatus Dormiibacterota bacterium
Lineage: Bacteria; Bacillati; Candidatus Dormiibacterota
Description: tRNA-Val
Rfam family: tRNA
About the family: Transfer RNA (tRNA) molecules are approximately 80 nucleotides in length. Their secondary structure includes four short double-helical elements and three loops (D, anti-codon, and T loops).
Source: RNAcentral